UGUGCAGUUUUUUUAUUCAAAUCCGUAGAUGUUGUAACGUGAUUGGGCAGGCAAGCUGUUUAUAUAGUGGCAAAGCGGACGUGAAAACAGGCUGUCCCCACUCAGGUCCGCAAGGAGCUGGAAGGGGCGUGGCCUCCAGCUCUGGCUGAAUUUCGGGAGAAAAUUUCUACCGGGAGGUUUUCGGGAGAGGCGCUGAAUUUCGGGAGUCUCCCGGAAAAUCCGGAAGGGUUGGCAAGAACUGAGCGUUGAUCUUGAACUCAGGGGCAGGCUUGCCCUGCUCCGUGGCGGCCUGUCUGCGCUCCUCGAUGCCCCGGAACAGGUGGUUGACGGCCCUGGGAAUGAUGCCCAGCUCCUCCUCGCCGAUGUUGACGUCAAGGCCCGUUCCCAUUGUGUACGUCUUCCCCGAACCGGUCUGGAGAGGACACAGAAAGAAACAAGGCACCAUUAGAGACUUGGUACAAAGGAAGGUCUGCACACCACAGCAAGCGGCUGCAUUGACUGAUGCUACCUAAAUAUGUUGCUAACUGACAUGGGGCCACCGUCAAUGGUGGAGGAUGAAGGUUUUAGAAAAAGGAUUCACGUACUCAACCCUGGUUACACUCUUCCCUCAAGGACCCAUUAUACCAAACUGAUGGAGAGGAAGUAUGAGCAAACAUUCCAUGCAGUGUAGACUGACAUAAAAGCCACACAGAGCAAAUUGCUCUCACUACUGAUGUGUGGACAAGUGUAGCCUACUUAAAGCCUAAAUAAUGUAAAUAAAUCAAUGUAUAUACUAUGAUGAUUAACUUGUGUGAUGACUGUAUUAUGUUGAUAGUAUAUAUUUGUACCAUGAAUUGAUUAACGUGGACCCCGACUUAAACAAGUUGAAAAACUUAUUCGGGUGUUACCAUUUAGUGGUCAAUUCUACGGAAUAUGUACUGAACUGUGCAAUCUACUAAUAAAAAUUAAAAAAAAGUAUGGCAAUUCAUGCCGUUACAUUGGAGACGAAUGGAACAUGAAGUCAAUCUGCCUUACGAUCAUGCCACUAAAGAAAGACAUUCAGUAUCCAACAUUGCAGAAUGGUUGGAAUAAGUGGUAGACAGGUUUGAAAUUCCCCUAAGCAAAAUUAUUGCUAAUAUGCAUGACAAUUGUGCACUUUAUAAAAAUAAAAAAUACAUUUUUGUAACACUUGCCUUGUUUUAUUUGGCAAGUCGAAAGAACAUGGUGCCAGUAUGCUGUUUUUUAAAAUAAAG
Nerophis ophidion (straightnose pipefish) is the source of this 1232-nucleotide long non-coding RNA. RefSeq lists it as uncharacterized. The transcript has 3 exons. The record is from RefSeq and is a predicted model, not a curated record. NCBI's taxonomy places the organism in Eukaryota, Metazoa, Chordata, Actinopteri, Syngnathiformes, Syngnathidae.